UGUUUAAUGUUAUUUGUGACUUUUAUUAACAAAAUUUUUGUACCUUUACUAAAUAAUUAAAAAAAUCACAUACAAGAUCAUCAGACUCUUUCUAAACUGAUAGAUUUUACUUUUUUAACAUCUUGGUGAAAAACUCUAUAACAAGAAAAGUACCAGAAUCGCUAUGUAAAUUGAAGUAAUUUGAAACAUGUGGGGUUGGUAUCACGAUACGUCCGGAUAUUCCUACGCGGACAGUGUUUUGACAGAAUUUUGACACUUUUUUAUUGUAAAAGUUUUAAAAUACCUGCGUGUCAUGUGUCAUAGCAAAUACCAUGAAUGAUGUUACCUACACAUUCCACAACCACGCGAGGUUAGGUUACAUUCAAAUUAUUAUCUUUUAAGGCCCCAACGCUGAAACGCAGUCAUAUUACUGAGUGCAAUAAUAAUACUGCUCAUUAAUACUUUUUUUCAAGGCAUUCCUACUAAAAUGUACUUUUCCGCGAAAUUUCAAAGGUACUACUUUUUCGGCGGAGGAUGUCGGCAAUCGACCUUUGCUGUCACUAUUCUAUCAUUAAUUAUCUACACCUUUUCCAAGUGCUAUCACAUGCAUUUCAGAUUAGUUAAUUUAAUUUCAGAAAGCAUAAAUUGAAAUUCAGAUUAGUCAAUUAUACAGUGUGAUCAAAAAGUAUGUCUAUCAAGCAAGCGUAGAAAUUUAAAACAUAUGUCUGUGGAAGAUAAAAUGUCACAAUGACAUAUGAGAAAUGUCAAAAUAAUCUUUAUGUAAAUUAUGACAGGAAACUGUGGUGAAGGAUUUUUAUGAAUAAACACUAACAAAAUCUUAUUUUAGUUUGUUUUGAGACGUUUCAUAGAAUAAUUCAAUUUAAUUAACUCAAUGUUUUAAUUUUUAUAAAAUAAUUUUUUGACAUCUUAUUGUUAUCUCAAAAUGAAGUUCACACAUAAACACGAAUUAUUUUAUCUUCAAAACUAAAGAAUUACAUAAACUUGGUAUUAUACAAAAUAAAUAAGACAUUUUAUUUAAAAUUUCAGAAUUUGUUAUUUUCAUUUAAAAAUUACAAUUGACGAAUUCUCAAUUACAAGUGACAAACUCUCUGAAUUCCAUCUUAUAUUUUCUGAAAUUCAUUUUACUGUUUUGAAUUACAAUUAAUGUUUUUUGAAAUACAUCUUACGCUUUCCUAAUUACACUUGAAAAAGGUGUAGACUACAUCAUUAAAUAGACAUAAAAAAUGUCAAAUGUCAAAAUUUUUUGAAUUUUUUAAACAUUUUUCCAUAUUCUUGGUGUCUUAUCUUACUUGAAAUUUUUCUCUGGGGCGCGAGUCACACACCCUGUUCAAAAAACGCCAAACAUUUGUUGAUAGUUAGAACACUUUUCAAACAUCUUUCAACGAGUGAAAUCAUAUCAAAACAAUUAUUGUAAUUUAAUUUUGAUUGCGAUUUGAUGAUAUAAACCUAUUUAUUCAAUUUCACGAUACCAUAAAAUUGCACUCUAGAUUUGUCUGUUAUUUGUGAUAUUGAGUAAUUUAUAAUCAGUGUAUAUGUACAAUAUAAAUAAAUUUGUUUCCUGUC
Tribolium madens (black flour beetle) is the source of this 1563-nucleotide long non-coding RNA. RefSeq lists it as uncharacterized. The record is from RefSeq and is a predicted model, not a curated record. The transcript has 2 exons. NCBI's taxonomy places the organism in Eukaryota, Metazoa, Arthropoda, Insecta, Coleoptera, Tenebrionidae.